GAUGAACGCUGGCGGCGUGCCUAAUACAUGCAAGUCGAGCGAACGGACGAGAAGCUUGCUUUUCUGAUGUUAGCGGCGGACGGGUGAGUAACACGUGGAUAACCUACCUAUAAGACUGGGAUAACUUCGGGAAACCGGAGCUAAUACCGGAUAAUAUUUUGAACCGCAUGGUUCAAAAGUGAAAGACGGUCUUGCUGUCACUUAUAGAUGGAUCCGCGCUGCAUUAGCUAGUUGGUAAGGUAACGGCUUACCAAGGCAACGAUGCAUAGCCGACCUGAGAGGGUGAUCGGACACACUGGAACUGAGACACGGUCCAGACUCCUACGGGAGGCAGCAGUAGGGAAUCUUCCGCAAUGGGCGAAAGCCUGACGGAGCAACGCCGCGUGAGUGAUGAAGGUCUUCGGAUCGUAAAACUCUGUUAUUAGGGAAGAACAUAUGUGUAAGUAACUGUGCACAUCUUGACGGUACCUAAUCAGAAAGACACGGCUAACUACGUG
RNAcentral lists this ribosomal RNA (497 nucleotides) under uncultured bacterium. RNAcentral's name for it is "partial 16S ribosomal RNA". It matches the Rfam family "Bacterial small subunit ribosomal RNA", at positions 28 to 507 of the family's 1533-position model. The record is from RNAcentral.